This 151-nucleotide non-coding RNA is filed under the name Dethiosulfatarculus sandiegensis. Its description in RNAcentral is "FMN sequence". It matches the Rfam family "FMN riboswitch aptamer (RFN element)". Rfam says of the family: The RFN element is a highly conserved domain that is found frequently in the 5'-untranslated regions of prokaryotic mRNAs that encode for flavin mononucleotide (FMN) biosynthesis and transport proteins. This element is a metabolite-dependent riboswitch that directly binds FMN in the absence of proteins. In Bacillus subtilis, the riboswitch most likely controls gene expression by causing premature transcription termination within the 5' untranslated region of the ribDEAHT operon and precluding access to the ribosome-binding site of ypaA mRNA. Lineage: Bacteria; Pseudomonadati; Thermodesulfobacteriota; Desulfarculia; Desulfarculales; Desulfarculaceae. The record is from Rfam by way of RNAcentral.
ACUUAUUCUCAGGGCGGGGUGAAAUUCCCCACCGGCGGUAUUCCGUUUUUUUACGGAGAGCCCGCGAGCGCUUCUUUUUUUUAAAAGAGGGUCAGCAGAUCUGGUGAAAGGCCAGAGCCGACGGUUACAGUCCGGAUGAAAGAGGAUAGGG